Molecule: ribosomal RNA, 454 nt
Filed under: uncultured organism
Description: partial 16S ribosomal RNA
Rfam family: Bacterial small subunit ribosomal RNA
Source: RNAcentral
CGUAACUCCUACGGGAGGCAGCAGUGGGGAAUAUUGGACAAUGGGCGCAAGCCUGAUCCAGCCAUGCCGCGUGAGUGAUGAAGGCCCUAGGGUUGUAAAGCUCUUUCACCGGUGAAGAUAAUGACGGUAACCGGAGAAGAAGCCCCGGCUAACUUCGUGCCAGCAGCCGCGGUAAUACGAAGGGGGCUAGCGUUGUUCGGAUUUACUGGGCGUAAAGCGCACGUAGGCGGACUAUUAAGUCAGGGGUGAAAUCCCGGGGCUCAACCCCGGAACUGCCUUUGAUACUGGUAGUCUUGAGUUCGAGAGAGGUGAGUGGAAUUCCGAGUGUAGAGGUGAAAUUCGUAGAUAUUCGGAGGAACACCAGUGGCGAAGGCGGCUCACUGGCUCGAUACUGACGCUGAGGUGCGAAAGCGUGGGGAGCAAACAGGAUUAGAUACCCCAGUAGUCCCCAUGA